RNAcentral lists this long non-coding RNA (573 nucleotides) under Bos taurus (domestic cattle). RNAcentral describes it as "long non-coding RNA NONBTAT024210". Lineage: Eukaryota; Metazoa; Chordata; Mammalia; Artiodactyla; Bovidae. The record is from RNAcentral.
GAGACAUAGAGGCAAAAAUGUGUCUGCCCAUGCACACUACAGAUCUGUCAAUACAAGAAGUUUGUUGAACAAGGCUAAUGUCUGAAAGCACCAUGCAAGUAUUCAGCACCCUGAUUACAUCUGUUUUCUCAAGAGUGCGUUUUUACAUCCUACACCCUGGCAUUCCCAGUUUGUAAACCGUAAGCUUUACCCUUGUGACAUGGAUUUGCCUGCCUCUUUGUCUCUAGAAUGCAGAUUUUACAGAACCUUUUGUACACCCUAUGGGUUCUUGAUGCAACCAGUAAUUUUAAAUAAAUAAAUUCUACCUCCAAGGAGGCUGCAGCUAAACCAACAUAAGUGCUGUGUUUUCAUUAAAUUUUUUUUUUUCCCUCAAGCACAUGAUUUGUCUUGAUUUAAUGCCUUUUUACUGCCCUCAAAAACUGAGGGGAAAAUAAAUUCGUUCAAAAUUCUCUUAAAUUCUUUUUAAUCCCCUCAAUUUAGAGUCCAAGGGCUGAAGGACUUAUAAUCAUGAUUCCCCUUUAGAUAUAAAUUUAUAAAUUGCACUUGCCUCUGUUAAGUGUUUCUUUUGUGGGG